Molecule: ribosomal RNA, 338 nt
Filed under: uncultured Microbacterium sp.
Lineage: Bacteria; Bacillati; Actinomycetota; Actinomycetes; Micrococcales; Microbacteriaceae
Description: bacterial SSU rRNA
Rfam family: Bacterial small subunit ribosomal RNA
Source: RNAcentral
GCAUGCAACCAGUGGACGGCAUCGUCCUUUGGUUAAAUAUUCAUAGGAUAUGGAUGGGCUCGCGUGACAUUAGCUAGUUGGUGGGGUAACGGCCACCAAGGCGACGAUGUCUAGGGGGCUCUGAGAGGAGAAUCCCCACACUGGUACUGAGACACGGACCAGACUCCUACGGGAGGCAGCAGUAAGGAAUAUUGGUCAAUGGGGGCAACCCUGAACCAGCCAUGCCGCGUGCAGGACGACUGCCCUAUGGGUUGUAAACUGCUUUUGUCGGGGAAUAAACCCCACUACGUGUAGUGGGCUGAAUGUACCCGAAGAAUAAGGAUCGGCUAACUCCGUGC